Molecule: long non-coding RNA, 322 nt
Filed under: Olea europaea (common olive)
Lineage: Eukaryota; Viridiplantae; Streptophyta; Magnoliopsida; Lamiales; Oleaceae
Description: long non-coding RNA (OEUR_LNC013234)
Source: RNAcentral
AUUGUGAAGGGCGACAAAUAAGCUUCUGUGGUUUAUUGCCUUAAGCUGAUGUACUCUCCUUUGUAAUUGAGUGUAAGAGCAGAUUGAAUUUCGUUUCACCACAAUUUUGGUUUGUAACAUAGAACUAUUUAUAUGAAAUGUAAGAAGGAAAAGGAGGGGGAGUUCCAUUCACUUACAGUCGUAAUUGUUGUUUAUAAUACUAUUCAACUUUAUGACAUGCUUAUGUGCUCUGAUUUUCCUGAUAAUAUGUUAUGACUCGUCAUAAUUGAUGCAUUCCCAUAAUUUUGUAGAAAAGGGUGGUUAAUAUUAGGGGAAAUUACAG